ACAACAGACCCGCCGUGAGGGCACGAAGCCGUGAGCCCGUGACCGCCGUGAGCCCCUUCCGUGAUUCCGUUCCCUCCAGGUAGGCUGCCAUCCCUCCAGCGUUGGCACAGGCUGUCAGGUUAGUGAGCUCCUACCAAUCCUACCAUCCUCAUUCCCUCCAGCGUUGGCACCAUGAGCACUGAGCUCCUAUCAUCCCUCCACGUGAUGCACAGGCUGCCAGGCUGGGGCGUUGAGCUGCCACCUGCACCUGCCAGGCUAGGGCGCUGGGCUGCCAUCCCUCCAGGAGUCGAUGCUGCCGACCUGUCGCUGGUUAGGUUAGUGAUCUGAAAUUCUGAAGUCCAUCCCUCCAAGCUCCAGUCCGCCUGUCAGGUACUCAGGUCAGUAAUCUGAAAUUCUGAAGUCAACUAGAUGGAGUUCAACUUACAAGAUGUUGCAUACUUGUAUAGCUUAUAAAGAAGCCAUUGAAACAUAUGCUGAUGCAGAUUUAAACUAUAAAUGGGAACCUACAGCUGAAGAGUGGGUUUUGUUUAUUGCAAUUGAACCAAUUCUUGCAUCUUUAGCUAAAGUUACCACUGCAUUGUCUGCUUCUUCAUAUCCUACUGCGAAUCUAUUCUAUCCUCACAUUGUGGAUAUAAAAAUUGCAUUGAGGGCAGCAAUGGUCUCCAAUAAUUUGAAUUUGAGAACAAUGGGUAAUGCUAUGAUGGAAAAGUUUAACAAGUAUUGGGAAGAAAAGAAUAAUGUUAUGGUUAUUGCUACUAUUCUUGAUCCAAGGUAUAAAAUGAGAUUUAUUGAGUGGUGCUUCAAUAAGAUAUUUGAUGAACAUCAAGUUGUGUUUGAAUUAGAAGAUGUUCGUAGUGAGUUAGAAAAAACUCUAUGGGGAUUUUGAGGUGCAGCAUAGAAAGAGAAAAGAGUCUCAAAGCAAAUAUAAUGCUUCCUCAUCUUUGAGUAUUGAAAGAUCAUGUAGGUUGCCAUCCUCUUCAUGUCAAUUUCAGUCUUUCUUGUCAUCAACUCAGUAUAACCCAUCAAAGAGCGAGUUGCUUAUCUAUUUGGAGGAGACUAAUGUCAGUUUAUCGGACAAAGAGCUUGAUUUGCUGAAUUGGUGGAAGGUUAAUUCACAUAGAUUUCCAGUGGUGUCGAGAAUGGCAAAGAAAUUCCUAACUAUAUCUGCGACAUCUGUAUCUUCGGAGUCUACUUUUAGCACGGGAGGUAGAACUCUAGAUGAUUAUCAUAGUUCUCUAAGGCCUUCAAUGGUAGAGGCAUUGGUAUAUAUGCUCUUCUAGCUGGAUCCGAGGAACACAUGAUGGAGGCAUGAUAUAUGUGAUAUGCUGAUCUUGUAUAUUUCUUAAAGUUGUAUUAUUUCACACGUUAAUUGAACUUUGUAUUUUAUCAAGAAGAAGAUGACGAGGACAAUGUUGAGAACAUUCUGUUUCCAAAAAGCUUGGUGGAAAGCAACUAAAUUUGGAAGAAUUGGAUGGAGACAAGACAAGCUAAGCUAAGGACGUCAAGAGAAAAGAUGCAUCAUUUGAAUUAUUUUUGUCAUUGAAACUUUGAGAUACUGAAUAUUUUCUGCUUAUCAAUGGAUUAUGCAUUACUCUUGUAGACUUUAAGAUACUGCUGCUGGUUUAAAUGUCUUCUUGUAUGUUUUGAGGAGUAGUGUAUCUUCUUGUAUGUUUUGAGCUGAUUUUAUGGAAUAUAUAUACAGCUGAAGGUUUGGCUCG
Zea mays is the source of this 1718-nucleotide long non-coding RNA. RefSeq lists it as uncharacterized. The record is from RefSeq and is a predicted model, not a curated record. The transcript has 2 exons. Lineage: Eukaryota; Viridiplantae; Streptophyta; Magnoliopsida; Poales; Poaceae.